Molecule: unclassified non-coding RNA, 249 nt
Filed under: uncultured Didymellaceae
Lineage: Eukaryota; Fungi; Ascomycota; Dothideomycetes; Pleosporales; Didymellaceae
Description: sequence contains ITS2
Rfam family: 5.8S ribosomal RNA (bases 1-52)
Source: RNAcentral
AACGCACAUUGCGCCCUUUGGUAUUCCAAAGGGCAUGCCUGUUCGAGCGUCAUUUGUACCCUCAAGCUUUGCUUGGUGUUGGGCGUUUGUCUCGCCUCUGCGUGUAGACUCGCCUUAAAACAAUUGGCAGCCGGCGUAUUGAUUUCGGAGCGCAGUACAUCUCGCGCUUUGCACUCAUAACGACGACGUCCAAAAGUACAUUUUUACACUCUUGACCUCGGAUCAGGUAGGGAUACCCGCUGAACUUAA